Molecule: long non-coding RNA, 852 nt
Filed under: Gossypium barbadense (sea-island cotton)
Lineage: Eukaryota; Viridiplantae; Streptophyta; Magnoliopsida; Malvales; Malvaceae
Description: long non-coding RNA (GBAR_LNC001861)
Source: RNAcentral
UGCAAACAUAUUCAAUACAUUGAAAAUUAAUAAUAGAGUCCAAAUAUGUGUUACUGGAUCGGGUUAGACUAAGUUGAAGUCCGAUUUUAAAAAAUUUAUAAAUUCGAGUUUAGGCUUAGUUUGUUUAGAUCCACUCAAAUAGUUUGUUUUACUGUUUUAAAAAUGGUUGGGCUAGGUUGGAUUUAAAAAAUAUAAACAUAAAUCCUGUCUAAAAAGAAUUGAGUUAACCCAGUUACUAAACUUAUGCACACUUUUAAAUAUAAGUUGAGAAUGUCAUGGUUUUGAGUCUACUCAAUCUAGAUAGAAACUAUUUGGAUUUUAAGAUUUUCUAAUCAUUCUGGUUGAGAUCUUUCGGGUUAAAGUUAAUUUUGAACAUUUUGGGUUCAUGUUAUUUUGAGUUUAGGUUAUUUAAGUUUGAGAUUUGAGUUUUUCAAGUCUGAUCAUUUAAGGUUCUAAUCAUUUUUAGAUUUUGAUCACUUCUAGUUCAGGUCAUUUUGGGUUAUGUGUUAAGGUUAUUUUGAGUUCAAGUCGUUUUGGGUUUCGAGUGAGAUUGGGGGAUCAAUUUCAAGUUUCGAGUUUGACAUAUUCAGAUUAUAGAUUUUUUAUGAUCAAAUCGAGUUAGAUUAUCCCUUACCAAUCCGUUGGUAACAAACUGGAGAAGAAGGCAAGCAACAAUUGAGCCAAGGCAUUGGGCAACCCAGUAGAAAAGGCCGGUCAAGAUGGUGAUGUUUCCUCCGAUGGCCAAACCAAAGGUGACGGCUGGGUUCAAAUGACCACCUGAGAUGUUGGCUGCAAUGGCUACCCCAACAAACAACGCAAGUGCAUGAGCUACCGCUAUGGCCACUAAGCCUG